Molecule: transfer RNA, 71 nt
Filed under: Symmachiella macrocystis
Lineage: Bacteria; Pseudomonadati; Planctomycetota; Planctomycetia; Planctomycetales; Planctomycetaceae
Also listed under: 1 other name
Description: Planctomycetes bacterium CA54 tRNA-Gly
Rfam family: tRNA
About the family: Transfer RNA (tRNA) molecules are approximately 80 nucleotides in length. Their secondary structure includes four short double-helical elements and three loops (D, anti-codon, and T loops).
Source: RNAcentral
GCGGGCGUCGUAUAAUGGUAUUACCCCAGCCUUCCAAGCUGGAGACGUGGGUUCGAUUCCCAUCGCCCGCU